RNAcentral lists this ribosomal RNA (253 nucleotides) under uncultured bacterium. Its description in RNAcentral is "partial 16S ribosomal RNA". It matches the Rfam family "Bacterial small subunit ribosomal RNA", at positions 524 to 776 of the family's 1533-position model. The record is from RNAcentral.
UACGAGGGGGGCAAGCGUUGUUCGGAAUUAUUGGGCGUAAAGGGUGCGUAGGCGGUUUGGUAAGUCUGUUGUGAAAGCCCUGGGCUCAACCUGGGAACUGCAGUGGAAACUGGACAACUAGAGUGUGGUAGAGGGUAGCGGAAUUCCCGGUGUAGCAGUGAAAUGCGUAGAGAUCGGGAGGAACAUCCAUGGCGAAGGCAGCUACCUGGACCAACACUGACACUGAGGCACGAAAGCGUGGGGAGCAAACAGG